Molecule: non-coding RNA, 780 nt
Organism: Lolium perenne
Lineage: Eukaryota; Viridiplantae; Streptophyta; Magnoliopsida; Poales; Poaceae
Source: RefSeq, a predicted model, not a curated record
GAGCCCCCUUGUGCCGCUGCCGGUGGCGGAGAAGGUUCAGCCAGUGGUGGUGACCGGCGGCACCAACAGGUGAUUUGCUGAAACGCUAUGUUUAUUCAUCUGAAUCAGCUUCCGUUCCUUUCUAUAGCUCUUGCCAGUGGCUAGUUACGACUGCUGCUGCUAAUCGUCAAGUGAGUAAAGGGAAUAAUGAGGAAGGAGCAUCUUGGCAAGCCUACAAAAGAUACAAAUAAAUACUACAAGAAGUCAAGCAAAGACGAUCUUGUUUUAAGGGCAACACUGGAAUCAAUCACUAGAUUUGGUUAAAACAACAAUCUGUUGACAAGAAGGAAAUAUGUGAGUUUUUGUAGCCUGAUGCUUUAGACGUUACUGUGAUCGGAGAGGCUUCUACUAUUGUUCUGUAGUUUAUAUAUGUUAAAGCACAUAUAUUUGUACUUCGUAAAGUAUCAUUUGUUAUGUGUAUUCAGUUGUUUUCUCUGUGAAGUUUGUUACACGAGCUAUUUGUUUCACUGAUGCUAAAAAUAAAAUAGUAUAAAAUAUAUUUAUGUUCUUUCUUACCUGCAAUGUUCUUAUGGAACGUUGCCCUUAACAAUUAAAUCAAUGCGCUCUUUCAGCAAGUGGCGGUUGCCCAAACAUCACCUUGUCUACUUAGAAGUAUGGAGAGGAUGCAGCUGCCCGGCUCGUCAUCUUUAAUUUUGUCAAGAAAGAAGAAAAAUGUUGCCUCCCAAGGCCUUGUACUUUCAAACUUUCUGCGUAUUAAUGAUUUGUGUAUAAGUUCAUAUA